RNAcentral lists this ribosomal RNA (1154 nucleotides) under Blautia fusiformis. Its description in RNAcentral is "partial 23S ribosomal RNA". It matches the Rfam family "Bacterial large subunit ribosomal RNA", at positions 359 to 1528 of the family's 2925-position model. Lineage: Bacteria; Bacillati; Bacillota; Clostridia; Lachnospirales; Lachnospiraceae. The record is from RNAcentral.
AGAGGGUGAAAGCCCCGUACGUGAAAGCAGAGCUGACUGAGCAGGAUCCGGAGUACCACGAGACACGAGGAACCUUGUGGGAAGUAAGGGGGACCACCCCCUAAGGCUAAAUACUACUUAGUGACCGAUAGCGCAUAGUACUGUGAAGGAAAGGUGAAAAGGACCCCGGGAGGGGAGUGAAAGAGAACCUGAAACCCUGUGUCUACAAGCUGUGGAAGUACUUUAUAUGUACGACCGCGUACUUUUUGUAGAACGGUCCGGCGAGUUACGCUUACUGGCAAGGUUAAGCACUUCAGGUGUGGAGCCGUAGGGAAACCAAGUCUUAAUAGGGCCAGAGUCAGUAGGAGUAGACCCGAAACCGGGUGAUCUAUCCAUGUCCAGGUUGAAGCUGCCGUAAGAGGUAGUGGAGGACCGAACCCACAUCCGUUGAAAAGGGUGGGGAUGAGGUGUGGAUAGGGGAGAAAUUCCAAUCGAACCCGGAGAUAGCUGGUUCUCCUCGAAAUAGCUUUAGGGCUAGCCUCGGUGUGAGUCUUGCGGAGGUAGAGCACUGAAUUUCCUAGGGGGCGUCAAAGCCUACCGAAGAAUAUCAAACUCCGAAUGCCGUGUAGAUAUCACCGGGAGUCAGACUGCACGAGAUAAGUUGGGCGGUCAAAAGGGAAAGAGCCCAGACCUACAGUUAAGGUCCCAAAGUGCGCGUUAAGUGGAAAAGGAUGUGGGAUUUCGAAGACAACCAGGAUGUUGGCUCAGAAGCAGCCAUACAUUCAAAGAGUGCGUAAUAGCUCACUGGUCGAGAGGUCCUGCGCCGAAAAUGUCCGGGGCUGAAACGCGCCACCGAAACUAAGGAAUCUGAAAAGAUUGGUAGAGGAGCAUUGCAUGCGGGAAGAAGCAGUACCGGAAGGAGCUGUGGACUGCAUGGAAGAGAGAAUGCCGGAAUGAGUAGCGAGAUAGAGGUGGGAAUCCUCUAGGCCGAAUAUCCAAGGUUUCCAGGGUAAAGCUGAUCUGCCCUGGGUGAGUCGGGACCUAAGGUGAGGGCGAGAGCCGUAGCCGAUGGACAACAGGUUGAUAUUCCUGUACUGCAGUAUGACAGAACUGUGGGGACACGUAAGGAGAGCGGGAGCCGGGAAUGGAAAGCCCGGUACAAGCGAGGUACCAGU